AUUGACCGCUAGCGGCAGGCCUAACACAUGCAAGUCGAACGAGUGGCGGACGGGUGAGUAAUGUAUGGGAAACUGCCUGAUGGCGGGGGAUAACUACUGGAAACGGUCGCUAAUACCGCAUACCAUCGGAUGUGCCCAGAGGGGCUUAGCUAGUAGGUGGGGUAACGGCUCACCUAGGCGACGAUCCCUAGCUGGUUUGAGAGGAUGACCAGCCACACGGGAAAUGAGACACGGUGCAGACUCCGACGGGAGGCAGCAGUGGGGAAUAUUGAACAAUGGGCGCAAGCCUGAUGCAGCCAUGCCGCGUGUAUGAAGAAGGCCUUCGGGUUGUAAAGUACUUUCAGCGGGGAGGCGUUACCCGCAGAAGAAGCACCGGCUAACUCCGUGCCAGCCGCCGCGGUAAUUC
RNAcentral lists this ribosomal RNA (406 nucleotides) under uncultured bacterium. RNAcentral describes it as "partial 16S ribosomal RNA". It matches the Rfam family "Bacterial small subunit ribosomal RNA", at positions 30 to 526 of the family's 1533-position model. The record is from RNAcentral.